UUACGGUCCAUCCGAUGAGGAUGGGAAGUAACUCAGGGAAACACACAUUGGCAAAAUGUGGGAAAUUAACUGAG
Molecule: ribozyme, 74 nt
Filed under: unclassified sequences
Description: Hairpin ribozyme 1 from viruses-like metatranscriptomes
Rfam family: Hairpin ribozyme 1 from viruses-like metatranscriptomes
Source: Rfam by way of RNAcentral